Molecule: ribosomal RNA, 492 nt
Filed under: uncultured bacterium
Lineage: Bacteria
Description: partial 16S ribosomal RNA
Rfam family: Bacterial small subunit ribosomal RNA
Source: RNAcentral
AUUGAACGCUGGCGGCAUGCUUUACACAUGCAAGUCGAACGGUAACAGGCCUUCGGGUGCUGACGAGUGGCGAACGGGUGAGUAAUGCAUCGGAACGUACCCAGAGGUGGGGGAUAACGCAGCGAAAGCUGUGCUAAUACCGCAUGUGAUCUGAGGAUGAAAGCGGGGGACCGAGCAGCAAUGUUUGGCCUCGCGCCUUUGGAGCGGCCGAUGUCGGAUUAGCUAGUUGGUGGGGUAAAGGCCUACCAAGGCGACGAUCCGUAGCUGGUCUGAGAGGACGACCAGCCACACUGGGACUGAGACACGGCCCAGACUCCUACGGGAGGGAGCAGUGGGGAAUUUUGGACAAUGGGCGCAAGCCUGAUCCAGCAAUGCCGCGUGCGGGAAGAAGGCCUUCGGGUUGUAAACCGCUUUUGGCAGGAACGAAACGGUGUCCGCUAAUACCGGGCGCUAAUGACGGUACCUGCAGAAUAAGCACCGGCUAACUACGUG